Corapipo altera (White-ruffed manakin) is the source of this 716-nucleotide long non-coding RNA. RefSeq lists it as uncharacterized. The transcript has 5 exons. The record is from RefSeq and is a predicted model, not a curated record. NCBI's taxonomy places the organism in Eukaryota, Metazoa, Chordata, Aves, Passeriformes, Pipridae.
GUCCUAUUUCUGAGCUCCUGAUAUAAUGAGUAUCAAAUUCUGCUUAUUUCUGUCAGAGUGACUGAAAUUUUUCUAGAAAAAACAUUAAUUAAAAUGGAGAUAAAUUGGACUGCUUAACCUUUCUCCAUUCCUUCUCACCUGACCCUUGCUAGCUCACACUUGCAGGUCAUUAGGUUCAAUUAAGUAAGUUAAAAAGCCAUGAGCAGGCAUUUCCUAGGCUAGAACCUGUUUAGUUAGAUAGCUGUAAAGUAACAGAGUAACAUUAGUGUUUGUCUAAAGCUGGAGCGGAUGAGAACGACACAAAAGUUGAAACAUUUUCUGGUGGAGUCUCACUGACAGCCGUAAGACAGGCAUCUAUCAGAGCUUGUACAGAGCUUUCUUCCUGAAACAGUAGAAAGGCGUAACCUUGGAAAGGAUGCUGCCUAUAUGGGAUCACAGUAAAUCAAGCACAUUUGACCUACCGAGCUUAACACGACUGUGGAAAAUACGACUUGCUUUCAGCUUUGUGAGGCCAGUCCACCACAAGAGGUCCAAACCUACGAAAGCUGGCAGUGAUCUCAUCUACAAAAAACAAAUGAGGCACCUCAGAAUGUGAAGACUGACGUGGCAAGUACCUUCAUCAAUGUCAGGAGGAAGACCUCCAACAAACACCUUUCUAGAAUAGCGUUCCACUCUUUCACCGUUUUGACAGCGCGUUGGAGAGCUGAGACCCGACG